UGUCCGGGUUCAAAACAAUUUUUGUUGAAACUGCGAAGCGCUCAGUAAAUCAGUUAUAGUCUGUUCGAGCGAAAAACAGACGCCGAGGAUAACUGUGGUAAAUCUAGAGCUAAUACAUAGGAGGCCCUUUGCGGGGCUAGUUAUUGGCAGACCAAAAGUAGACCGCCUUCGGGCGGGCUAAGGUGAAUCUGAAUAACUUGAACGACCCCUAGCCGGGCUGGGGGCGGGUCGAGCGAAUUUCUGCCCUAUCAGCUAGUUGGUAGGGUAGCGGCCUACCAAGGCGUUAACGGGUAACGGGGAGUCAGGGUUCGACUCCGGAGAGGGAGCCUGAGAAACGGCUACCACAUCCAAGGACGGCAGCAGGCGCGCAAAUUACCCAAUCCAGAAAUUGGGAGGUAGUGACCAGAAAUACUGGGGUGGCUCCUAGCGAGCCUCGCCCGGAAUGGACGUAGCCCAAAAACAUCGCUGAUGAGCUACUGGAGGGCAAGUCUGGUGCCAGCAGCCGCGGUAAUUCCAGCUCCAGUAGUGUAUAUCAACAUUGUUGCGCUUAAAACGCUCCUAGUUGGAAUGGGGGGCGCCGCCGGAGCCUCAAUUUUUAAUUUUGGUUUCUGGUUUUGAGUAGGACUGGGUCCGCUUAGAAUUUGGGUCCUACUUUUGGUGCCCCAAAAUCAUGGGCCCCCGGUUUCAGUCUUGGUUGACUGGGCCGGGCGCCGAUGGGGUGUGCCUUGAAUAAACCAUGGUGCUCAAUGCAAGCGGAAAUGCUGGGGUGUGUUAGCAUGGAACGAAUUUUUUGACUGUAGCCGCGGUUCCUGCUCUAUUAUCGAGAAAAGUGAGAUAAUUGGGAUGGGGCCGGGCUGGUUAGCUUUGGUGAACCAGGUCUCAGUGGUUAAGAGGGACGCCUGGGGGCACUGGUACUCUGUGGCGAGAGGUGAAAUUCUUAGACCCGCAGAAGACCGGCUGUGGCGAAAGCAUUUGCCAAGAGUGUUUUCAUUAAUCAAGAACGAAGGUCAGAGGAUCGAAGACGAUCAGAUACCGUCCUAGUUUUGACAGCAAACAUUGCCGGCCUAGCUGCGGGGCUGCUACUCAGAGUGGAGUAGAGCGGCCUCGCCGGCUUGAGGGAAACCUAGCUUUCGGGCUGCGGGGAGAAUAUCGCUGCAAGGCUGAAAUUUAAAGAAAUUGACGGAGAGGCACCACCAGGAGUGGAGCCUGCGGCUCAAUUUGACUCAACACAGGGAAAAUACCGGGUCCAGACAUUGGUAGGAUUGACAGAGUGGUGGAUCUUUCAUGAUUCAUG
This 1294-nucleotide ribosomal RNA is filed under the name Ceratomyxa argentina. RNAcentral describes it as "SSU rRNA". It matches the Rfam family "Eukaryotic small subunit ribosomal RNA", at positions 56 to 1271 of the family's 1831-position model. Lineage: Eukaryota; Metazoa; Cnidaria; Myxozoa; Bivalvulida; Ceratomyxidae. The record is from RNAcentral.